GACGAACGCUGGCGGCGGGCUUAACACAUGCAAGUCGAACGGAAAGGCCCUGCUUUCGUGGGGUGCUGGAGUGGCGAACGGGUGAGUAACACGUGAGUAACCUGCCCUAGACUUUGGGAUAACUUCAGGAAACUGGGGCUAAUACCGUAUAGGAGCUCCUCCUGCAGGGUGGGGGUGGGAAAGUUGCGGCGGUUGGGGAUGGACUCGCGGCUUAUCAGCUGGUUGGUGGGGUAGUGGCUGACCAAGGCUUUGACGGGUAGCCGGCCGGAGAGGGUGACCACGCACAAUGGGACUGAGAGACGGAGCAGACUCCUACGGGAGGCAGCAGUGGGGAAUAUUGCCCAGUCGGCGGACGCCUGAUGCAGAGACGCCGGGUGCGGGAUGACGGCCUUCGGGUUGUGAAACGCAUUCGCCUGUGACGCAGCGUGAGUGACGGUAAUGAGUAAAGAAGCACCGGCUAACUACGUG
Molecule: ribosomal RNA, 468 nt
Filed under: uncultured bacterium
Lineage: Bacteria
Description: partial 16S ribosomal RNA
Rfam family: Bacterial small subunit ribosomal RNA
Source: RNAcentral